Molecule: ribosomal RNA, 491 nt
Filed under: uncultured bacterium
Lineage: Bacteria
Description: partial 16S ribosomal RNA
Rfam family: Bacterial small subunit ribosomal RNA
Source: RNAcentral
GAUGAACGCUGGCUACAGGCUUAACACAUGCAAGUCGAGGGGAAACGACGGGGAAGCUUGCUUCCCCGGGCGUCGACCGGCGCACGGGUGAGUAACGCGUAUCCAACCUGCCUCUGACUGAGGGAUAACCCGUCGAAAGUCGGCCUAAUACCUCAUGGUAUCGUCUGCGGGCAUCCAACGACGAUUAAAGAUUUCAUCGGUCAGGGAUGGGGAUGCGUCUGAUUAGCUUGUUGGCGGGGUAACGGCCCACCAAGGCUACGAUCAGUAGGGGUUCUGAGAGGAAGGUCCCCCACAUUGGAACUGAGACACGGCCCAAACUCCUACGGGAGGAAGCAGUGAGGAAUAUUGGUCAAUGGGCGAGAGCCUGAACCAGCCAAGUAGCGUGCAGGAAGACGGCCCUAUGGGUUGUAAACUGCUUUUAUGCGGGGAUAAAGUGAGGGACGUGUCCCUAAUUGCAGGUACCGCAUGAAUAAGGACCGGCUAAUUCCGUG